RNAcentral lists this long non-coding RNA (8851 nucleotides) under Coffea arabica (coffee). RNAcentral's name for it is "long non-coding RNA (CARA_LNC006272)". Lineage: Eukaryota; Viridiplantae; Streptophyta; Magnoliopsida; Gentianales; Rubiaceae. The record is from RNAcentral.
UGGAAUUUAGUUAUCAAAACUAUUUUUCUCCUUGUGCAGCAAAUAUGUCAAUCACUCCACACUUUGUGGUCGGCUCCUUUCCGAAUUGUAGUUGCCUUGAUUCUUCUAUACCAGGAAUUGGGUGUUGCGUCACUACUUGGUGCACUUCUACUUGUUCUUAUGUUCCCAAUACAGGUAUAGACCUAUUCCCCCCCACCAUUCCUAUAUUUUGCCUUAAAGAAACAGUUUAUGUAACACCUAACCUUUAUCCCUGAUGUUAUUUAUUUAAUCUAUAAUUUCCUGCUUUGCCCAUUUCAUAGUGCAAUGUUAUGUCAUUAUUUCAGUACAUAUACCUUUAGAGUUGGUUGGUGGAGGGCUCAGUGAAAGUAAAAUUUUAAAGAAAAAAGGCAUUUAAUAAAUUAAGGUCCCUAGAAAGAAAAUCAAUUCAGCUAAAGCUUUUCACUGAAAGUUCUUAAUCUUGAAGGAUUGGGUUUGAAAAGGACAAGAAGAUCUAUUCAUUUAGGCAACAUAUUUGCCUCAAACAUAGGAUGAAACUAAUGUAUUAGUAUUAGAUGUUACAGUGAUGCCAUUAAACAGAAUCAUGUAACUUGCAAUUUACCUCUGGGUUUGGAGGUAAAUAGGACGAAACACUUAGAAGGCUAAGUUAAACUAUGUGGCAAGCUUGGAGUUUGACUCCCAGGCAGUAAAGCUUUACACCCUUGUCUGCUUGUCAUUGUAAAUGGACCUGGAUCUUGAAUUUCUCACUCUGCAGAUCUUCUCCUCGUUUUUUUGUAGGAGCUAAUUGUUUUUUGUUUUAUCUCUAGAUGAGGAGGGUUUGUUUACGUUUCACCAAUAUCAAUUUUCUCUUAUGCUAUUUGAAUACAUGUUUAGUGAUCAUGAAAUCUUCUUCUGGACACAGACAUUGAUUAUAAGCAAGAUGCAGCAAUUGUCAAAAGAAGGGCUGCAACGCACAGACAAGCGAAUUGGACUCAUGAAUGAAAUUUUGGGUGCCAUGGAUACUGUCAAGUGUGUCUUGUCCUAUAAGUGGUUUAUGCCUUUAUAUGCUAUAUUAUAUGGCUAAAUAGCUGGCUGCAUAUGUUUCAGAUGUUAUGCAUGGGAGGAUAGUUUCCAGUCAAAGGUUCAAAAUGUGCGAAAUGAUGAACUGUCUUGGUUCCGUAGAGCACAACUAUUAGCUGCGGUAUGUUGGAGUUCAUUGAUAUGGGAAAUUGGUUUUGUUUUGUAUCCUUUCAUUCUCUCAAUAUUUACAUUACGAUAGUGUGUGUAAAAUUUCUCCAUCUUGUGUUUUGAGGAUUUAUUUCUUUCAGAGGAUAAGAUAAUUAUUCCGACAUUCCUCAUUUUGUUCAUUUCCUCUGUUGGAUUGAGCUGUAUGUCUUAGCUUUGCAGUAAAUCCUCUUUGCACUCUCUCUUCAUACACUGGAUACUUCAUUUGUUGCUGAUAAAGUACAAUAUUAACACACUAAUCUGAAAUGGCAUUUGAGGCUGUAAUCAUAGCUGAGAGCUAUACAAACUGAAGAGCGUGAUUGCAAUAAAUGCUAAACUGCUUGUCACCAAGUGUGCAUCAGUAGAAAUGUAAUCCUUGGUUUUUUAGUGAUUAACUGUUAAGAUUCUCUCCCUUUCCCUCUUUACAAGUGAAAUUACCACCAUGCUUUUCUUUCUUUCCUCUUAAAAUGAAACCUCAUUGAUAUUUUGCAUAUUUUGCAGUUGAACAGUUUCAUUCUGAACAGCAUUCCUGUGGUGGUGAUUGUGGUUUCAUUUGGGAUGUUCACUUUACUUGGAGGGGAUUUGACACCUGCAAGGGCAUUCACAUCUCUUUCUUUGUUUGCUGUGCUGCGCUUUCCACUAUUCAUGCUUCCAAAUAUAAUUACACAGGUUCUUUUUCCUUCUGUACAUUUGUGUUCUAUCAUUUCAUGUAGAGCUAGAUUGUUUUCUCCACCUUCCUAUCUGUACCAGGGAAUAGUUUUUUUUUUUUCCAAUGAGUUGUUUGUACAAAGUUUUUAUUCUUGUCCCUCUUCUGUUGUGUAUUUGUUCCUUUUUGCACUUUUUGUUGGAUGGGCAUGUCUGAGAAUUCAGCCUGUGUGCAAAAGUCAGAUGCAUCAUUCCCCUUCAAUAUAUAUAUAUAUUUUGUGAUGGUAUCUAUUUUGUUAGUUUGGUAAGAAGCCCUAUUAAUCUUAAUUGGAUUCUUGAUUAUGAACUCUUUAUAAUUAUUCUUUUGAUUAAGUUCCUGUAUGUGAGGUUGGAGCCAUUGAUGGGUUCUCUUCUAAAAAGAUGGGGAUUAUAGUGCUUAUUUUCUUUAUUUUUAUUUAUAAUAGCAUGUUGCUGGUUACAAGUUGAAAAUUUUAUUGAUAGAAAAUUUUUAGUAUUCUUGACAGUUUUUAUAAUCAACGCAUUGUUCAUAAUACCAUUCUUGGGAAUGUUUUCCUGUCAUUACAGGUUGUGAAUGCAAAUGUGUCUCUGAAACGCUUGGAGGAACUUCUGCUAGCAGAAGAGAGAAUUCUUCUACCUAACCCACCUCUUGAACCAGAAGUUCCUGCAAUCUCAAUCAAGAAUGGAUACUUCUCCUGGGAAUCAAAGGUGGUUUAUGUGUACAUUUCUGUAUUUAUGUUCUUCUACCUUUUCUUAAUAAUUGUAGAGAUUGCAAGAGAUUAAUCAUAAUCCGGAAGGGAUUAACUGAUAGUGAUAGCAAUCUAUAGAUUAGAGAAACUUGGGCCUGUUUAUGGCUCCCAAAACUAUCUAAAUGACAGUUCAUGUUGUCUUGGGUUCUAAUUGAGCCGGAGGUGGUGUAACUUAGUUGGAGAAUCAUAAGAGUUGAUCGAAUUAAGUUUCCUAACUGGUCAGAAUUAUAUAUAGUGUAGAAAGAGGUUGAAAAAUAAGAAUUCCUCUGAAGGUUUGGAAACCAUAACCUAACUUUCAGUUAAAACAAGACAUCAUACGAAUUGAACAUUUCUAAUUGACACCUCAUGUAUAUUGCCAUCCAAAUCUUCUUCUUUUUAGAAGAAUAAUGCCACAACUGUUCAAUUAAAUUACACAAGUGAUUCAUCUCGAUUAUAUUCUUGAAGAUUAUUACUCCGAGUACUUUUAACAUCGAAAAAAUGGUAAUGUGGGCCCAGCAAUUGAUUGAUAGACAAAAGUACCUCUAAAAUCCUAAAACUCAUUACAGGUGAACUAAUUCGACCAACUCCGAAGCAAUUUCAGGUAAACCAUUUUGAUAAUUUGUUUAAUCACUGGUCAAUUCCCAGUUACACAUGAAGCGCUUCUUGCAUGCAGAUAAAUUGCAUAGUUUGUUAAAAAUAUAUAUAUAAAUCACCAAGUGGGCUGUUUGGCAUAGAAACCAACCUGUUUUGCUUUUAACUGCUUGAGAUUAUGUUCAUAGUUUUCCUAUUGACUUCUUGAGGUUAUAGCUGUUUCUUAACAUUUUUUUUAACAAAAUUGGAAGUUAUAGGGUGGUAAAUGUUGCUUCAAAGAGUUAAUAUGCAUAUUUCUCUUGUUGUAUAUUACCAAUUGGCUUUCUCAAGUUCUAGAUUGUUAAGCUUGCACAGAGUUUUUACUGUGAACGAAUGGUAUGCUCAAUGCAUUUCCCACUGAUACCAGGCAGAUAAACCUACAUUGUCAAACAUUAACUUGGAUAUACCAAUUGGUAGCUUGGUAGCAAUUGUUGGCAGCACAGGAGAGGGAAAGACAUCACUUAUCUCAGCAAUGCUUGGGGAGCUUCCUCCAGCAUCUGAUGCAACUGCUGUUGUCCUCAGAGGAACAGUUGCUUACGUGCCCCAAGUUUCGUGGAUUUUCAAUGCAACGGUAGGGAAUUUCUUUUCAUGUUUCUACUGAUCUUAGUUCCUUGAGUGGAUGCCACUUGCAUUUCAAGUCAUUUUGUUUUUCACUGUGCUUGUUACAUCUUUAAUAAGAAUCAGAGGCAUUUUUUUUUUUACAGGUACUUUUGUGAGUCAAAUAAAUUAUUGUCAUAAUAUGAAUCACUGGAAAGCUUUCUAUUGGCCGUGAAAUAGACUUGAAGAUUCGUAAUAAUUGGUGUAUAUGAUCUGCCCAUCCUCUGGUUAUGCUCAUCUCUUCUAGCAAUCGUGGCUCAUGCUGAAAAGUCUUGGUUUUCAUUUUCUUUUUGUUGAACAUUAUAAUAGUAGUUCCUUCCAUUGUUGUGGAAAAAUCAAUGUUCUACUACUGAUUCAGGAUCAGCUAGGAUUAUAAAAAAAGGGAAAAAAGGCAUUCAGCCUAAUUGGUUUGGGAAAGGUAGAAGUACCUAUUAUGGAGGUCUACUAAAUCAACUACAGUUGCUUCUCUUGAACUUAUAGUUAUCUGUGAACAAAGAAUACUUGUAAUUGAAGAUAUGAAUUCUGUUUUCUUUUCUGGUUGUGAGAAAGUUUCAACAUACUGAAUGAACAUCUGUUCAGAUAGGUUUAAACAGUGUUAUUUUACUGUCUUAUGCCAUUAAAAGUUUUUACAUUGUCCUGUAACUAUUGUAAUUGGAUUCUACCUUUCAGUCAAGAGUUAAUCAACAUCAAAACGUAUAUCUUUGUGAUAAAAAAUUUCUCAUGGCUCUGUGAUCAAGAAUCUAUUUUCAUUGUAUGCAAGUUACACAUUUCUCUCAGAAAUACUUUCUAAAUUUCAUUACAGCAGUGGUAUGUUAUGCUCCAGAAUUUCUAGUGUCUAUCAUACGAGUCAACAUGGCAUAUUGACAUCCAUUUUAAAACAUUAUUUGCAGACUGAGAACUUAAUUAGUUGGUAUAUCCAUUUUAUUUUUCUCUGAAAAUCUUGCAGAUUUGGAAUGACGUUUCGCAGUUUAUUGGGCCUAUGAUAUUGAAUCAACUUUUAAAGGUGAGUUGCAUCUAAUCUUUAUCUUCUUUCAAAACUUGCUUCCAAAUGUGAAUGACUUGAGGGUAUUGUUGAGCGUGUCUUGAAGUUGGAAAUGAAACAGCUGGACUUGAUAUCUUGUGUUUAAAUGAUAUGCUGACUUUAGUCAGUUAACCCUACAAAAGUAUUUAUCAUGUGGACGUGAUCUGAAGUUUAAUUUCAACAUUUUGAAUCACUUUACUUUUACAGAGUGUACCUUUCCUUUUCUAACCUCCACAUAUGUGGUCUUGCCUUUUUAUGGUAAAAAGCACAAUCUCCUUAAGCCAAGUUGGUAAUUACUAAGUCAAUUAUCUUGAAUCAAAGUUAGAGUGGGAAGCAUUCUUGCUAAGGUAAAAAGCACAAUCUCCUUAAGCCAAGUUGGUAAUUUCUAAGUCAAUUAUCUUGAAUCAAAGUUAGAGUGGGAAGCAUUCUUACUUCUGGAAUUAGCCAUAAAAAGUAGGAUAUUUGAGAUUGAUAACUAAAAGGUUAAAAUAACUAGAUAAUUAGCGCAAUGAAUCCUUAAUGAUAAAAGAUAUGCAGUAUUUGAACGAAAUGCUGAAAUUGCACCUUGAAGUAUGUACUUCUGUUCUUCCAUCUGUUUGUAUCCUCUGUAUUUCACUUUAGAUUUCAACUUUGAUUGUAAUCCAUCUACAUUAAAACUUUCCUAUUAGUUUCAUUUAUAGGACAAGCAUAGCUUUAGGACUUAAUGGUAAAAAGUAGUGCAGAAAAAAUUAAGAUCCCACGAUGCCACAAGUGUCUUCUUCUACCACUUUUGACUUGAAUUUCUGGUCAAUUUGUUCUGAGGAAUUAUCUCCCUAGCAGUGUAAAGUCUAAUCCCAUUGCUUUUGCCAACCAAAAGGUUGAUGGUUCUCUAAAAUCUUCCAUGUGUUCCGGAUCUGUUUCAAGUCUAGGAUAGUAGAUUUGCUUUAAUAAGUUUGUGUGUACUUAACGCAGUCUGAAGAAGACAUACGAUGAUUUCCCUAUUUUCCAUUUAAUUUAUAUUUUGACUCUCACUUAUUGUAUCCAUUUCAUGUUUCAGUUUCUUAUCUCAUUUACUUUUUGACAGUCCAUGCAAGAUGGAGACCCGGCUUGGAUUGGUUACAUUUAUGCAUUCUCAAUUUUUGCUGGAGUGGUAUGGUUUGAGUCCUUGAAUUUGAAGUUCUGAAUUUUAAUUUCAUACUAGCUAUGCUUUUGGUAAAUGCUUUAGGUUGCAUGUAAGCCCUUCCACUAUUUGUUUUGCAAACUUUUGACUUAAUCGUUUUUUACUAAAUUUCAAUAUUGUGACUUUGUUGGACGUCAUACAUUGUUCUCUGUGAGCACUUACCAGAAAAGAUCUAUCAUUUAUUCCCUUCAUUCUGAGGGUCAAUAGUUUCCUAAAUAACUACUAUUGUAAUCAAGUUUUUUUUCCCCUUUUUUUGGGGUAGGAGUUAUCUGAAGUUGGUAUCCUUCCUGGUUAUGUGCUUUGACAUGCUUGGAUUUUAUAUGAUUUAGGUAUUUGGAGUAUUAUGUGAAGCUCAAUAUUUCCAAAAUGUAAUGCGCGUCGGAUACCGAUUGAGAUCAACCCUGGUAAGAUAUACUUUUAUCUUACAAAAUCUGACAAUUUUAUCACUAGAGCUGUUAUUGUCCACUGCUUUGCAUGUUAGAGUAAUUGAUUUGUUUCAUUUCUUUCAUAUGGGUAUGUACACUUUAGAACCGUAAUGUACGUUUUAGUUGGAGAGCUGAGGGGUCCAGAUAAAUUAUAUUUGUGUUCAACACCUAGUAUUGUCAACAUGAGCUGGUUUAAGGGCUUUCAGUGAAUUUAUUUUUCUUCCUCUGACAACGGUUUUUUGAGCUUCAUAAUUUUUUGAGCAUCAUCAUAUUGCUGAUUUUUUUUUUCCUGCAACUUGUUUUAUAGAUUGCUGCAGUUUUCAGGAAGUCACUGAGGCUAACACAUGAGAGUCGUAGAAAAUUUGCAACUGGGAAAAUAACCAAUCUAAUGACCACCGAUGCUGAAGCUCUUCAGGCAUGAUUCCUUUAUGAAUUUCUCUAUGGUCUGGUUUCUUAAUGCUACUGUGAUCUUUAUGUUGUCAGAGAGAUGCCAAAAUCUGACUUUUGAUUCUAAAUACAUGGUGUAAUGGAAUAAAGCAGUGGUUUUAACUUUUCUGUAUGCUGUUAAUAAUAUACCAUUGCUGUCAUAACUCGUUGCAGGUUUAGUUUAGAUUGUAACUAAUCAUCAGAAAAAGGAUUUUUUUUUUUAAUUGCCUCAAUAUGUGGAUAAAGGCCAGAUCGGGCCAAGCUUGACACCCUCCAACUUAUACCAUAGAUCCAUGACUUGAUUCAAGGGUGACCAUCAGCAAGUCCGAUCUAUGUCUGACGAUGACAUGUUGCAAGUCUCUCUGUGUUUGUUUUUCGUGUGUGAUAUUAUAUCUCUAACUUCAGGAGGAAUAAGUGUUGCUUAAAGCUAUUCUGCAUACCUAAAGCAUGAAAUUUGGAGCACGGGCUUCACAAAUUCUUUAAUCCUGAAUGAACACAAGCCAACUUGGAGACCAACUACAUGAAAAUAUUCCCGGAGUCGGCCUUCAUAGACUUGCCCUUAAGACUGUCAGAGCACCUAAGAAAAGAAAAUGUGUCCAAUGCUGGGAUUUUGUUAGAGAUAAUAUGACUCAAACUUGGAUAUCUGUAUAGUGGUCGCCCUUCCCUAGUUAACUUGCUUCCAACUUUCCAUUGCAGUGGAUGUGGUUUAACUUUCUGUAUAAUCAAAGUAGACAUUUGUGUUUACUUAUCCAAUAAUCCUUGCUCUCUCCUGCUGGUACUGGCUUUUUCUCAUCAUAUGUUGCCCUUGUCAAUUAUGAUCUUGUGAAGCUUUGAGGGUUUACUUGUAGGUUAAAGCUUCAGAAGAUCAUAUUUCUAUUCCAGCUCUUACCAGACACAAUGGUCUUGAGCAAAUUAUUACAUGAAUAAUUUGGUCAUUAUAGAGAGUGCAAUAAAAGAUGCUUUACCUUGCCAUCACUUGUAUGGACUUGUGUGAGAAAGUACUAUGAAGUUCCUAUGCUCUUAAUGAUACAAAAGCUACUGCGGUACAUUGCCUUGCUCUUAAAUCACAAUCAGGAGCUGAUGAGCAGUCAUGAAUUUUUUGCACUCACCGACAGUAAACCUUUAUCUGUAUGACCAAGUUAAGGAGCUGAGAUGCUAACCUUAUGUAUUACUCGAUGGAAAUUUACAAUGUCCAAAAGCUGUUUCAGAAAUUGUCAUCUUUAAGUAUCUCUUGACAUUCUGUACAUUUUCUGUGGAAUUUAGUUAUCAAAACUAUUUUUCUCCUUGUGCAGCAAAUAUGUCAAUCACUCCACACUUUGUGGUCGGCUCCUUUCCGAAUUGUAGUUGCCUUGAUUCUUCUAUACCAGGAAUUGGGUGUUGCGUCACUACUUGGUGCACUUCUACUUGUUCUUAUGUUCCCAAUACAGGUAUAGACCUAUUCCCCCCCACCAUUCCUAUAUUUUGCCUUAAAGAAACAGUUUAUGUAACACCUAACCUUUAUCCCUGAUGUUAUUUAUUUAAUCUAUAAUUUCCUGCUUUGCCCAUUUCAUAGUGCAAUGUUAUGUCAUUAUUUCAGUACAUAUACCUUUAGAGUUGGUUGGUGGAGGGCUCAGUGAAAGUAAAAUUUUAAAGAAAAAAGGCAUUUAAUAAAUUAAGGUCCCUAGAAAGAAAAUCAAUUCAGCUAAAGCUUUUCACUGAAAGUUCUUAAUCUUGAAGGAUUGGGUUUGAAAAGGACAAGAAGAUCUAUUCAUUUAGGCAACAUAUUUGCCUCAAACAUAGGAUGAAACUAAUGUAUUAGUAUUAGAUGUUACAGUGAUGCCAUUAAACAGAAUCAUGUAACUUGCAAUUUACCUCUGGGUUUGGAGGUAAAUAGGACGAAACACUUAGAAGGCUAAGUUAAACUAUGUGGCAAGCUUGGAGUUUGACUCCCAGGCAGUAAAGCUUUACACCCUUGUCUGCUUGUCAUUGUAAAUGGACCUGGAUCUUGAAUUUCUCACUCUGC